CAGGCUAAACACAUGCAAGUCGAACGGGGUAGCAAUACCUAGUGGCGCACGGGUGAGUAACGCGUGGAUAAUCUGCCUUGGAGUGGGGGAUAACUAGUCGAAAGAUUAGCUAAUACCGCAUAAGACCACAGGAGCUGCGGCUCUAGGGGUCAAAGGUUUUUCGUUCCAAGAUGAGUCCGCGUAAGAUUAGCUAGUUGGUGAGGUAAUGGCUCACCAAGGCGACGAUCUUUAACUGGUCUGAGAGGAUGAUCAGUCACACUGGAACUGAGACACGGUCCAGACUCCUACGGGAGGCAGCAGUAGGGAAUAUUGCACAAUGGAGGAAACUCUGAUGCAGCGACGCCGCGUGAGUGAUGAAGGCCUUCGGGUCGUAAAGCUCUGUCGCAGGGGAAUAACACAAUGAAUGUACCCUGUAAGAAAGGAUCGGCUAACUUCGUGCCAGCAGCCGCGGUAAGACGAGGGAUCCUAGCGUUGUUCGGAAUUAUUGGGCGUAAAGCGGAUGUAGGUGGCUUUGUAAGUCAGAUGUGAAAGCCCAGGGCUCAACCCUGGAAGUGCAUUUGAUACUGCGAAGCUUGAGUGUCGGAGAGGUUACUAGAAUUGUUGGUGUAGUGGUGAAAUACGUAGAUAUCAACAGGAAUACCGGAGGCGAAGGCGGGUAACUGGCCGAACACUGACACUGAGAUCCGAAAGCGUGGGGAUCAAACAGGAUUAGAUACCCUGGUAGUCCACGCCGUAAACGAUGGAUACUUGUUGUUGGAGGUAUUGACCCCUUCAGUGACG
Molecule: ribosomal RNA, 780 nt
Filed under: Bdellovibrio sp. SDXGL
Lineage: Bacteria; Pseudomonadati; Bdellovibrionota; Bdellovibrionia; Bdellovibrionales; Pseudobdellovibrionaceae
Description: bacterial SSU rRNA
Rfam family: Bacterial small subunit ribosomal RNA
Source: RNAcentral